AGAGUUUGAUCCUGGCUCAGAUUGAACGCUGGCGGCAGGCCUAACACAUGCAAGUCGAGCGCGAAAAGCUUUCGGGCUGAGUAGAGCGGCGGACGGGUGAGUAACGCGUAGGAAUCUACCUGGUAGUGGGGGACAACUUGGGGAAACUCAAGCUAAUACCGCAUACGCCCUAAGGGGGAAAGCGGGGGACCUUCGGGCCUCGCGCUAUCGGAUGAGCCUGCGUAGGAUUAGCUAGUUGGUGGGGUAAAGGCCCACCAAGGCGACGAUCCUUAGCUGGUCUGAGAGGAUGAUCAGCCACACUGGAACUGAGACACGGUCCAGACUCCUACGGGAGGCAGCAGUGGGGAAUAUUGCGCAAUGGGCGAAAGCCUGACGCAGCCAUGCCGCGUGUGUGAAGAAGGCCUUAGGGUUGUAAAGCACUUUCAAUUGGGAAGAAAAGUUUGUUGUUAAUAGCGGCAAGCUCUGACAUUACCUUUAGAAGAAGCACCGGCUAACUCCGUGCCAGCAGCCGCGGUAAUACGGAGGGUGCGAGCGUUAAUCGGAAUUACUGGGCGUAAAGCGCGCGUAGGCGGUUUGUUAAGUCAGCUGUGAAAGCCCCGGGCUCAACCUGGGAACUGCAGUUGAUACUGGCCGACUAGAGUACGAGAGAGGGAGGUAGAAUUCCAUGUGUAGCGGUGAAAUGCGUAGAUAUAUGGAGGAAUACCAGUGGCGAAGGCGGCCUCCUGGCUCGAUACUGACGCUGAGGUGCGAAAGCGUGGGGAUCAAA
RNAcentral lists this ribosomal RNA (766 nucleotides) under uncultured bacterium. Its description in RNAcentral is "bacterial SSU rRNA". It matches the Rfam family "Bacterial small subunit ribosomal RNA", at positions 8 to 772 of the family's 1533-position model. The record is from RNAcentral.